AGCCCAUGCUUAAUCCACUGAGCCACACCAGCCAGGGCUUAAGCUGUAAUCUGCAUUUUCUUUCCCCCCCAGGUUUUUAAACUUUUAUUUUUUAAUUACAGUUGACAGACAAUGUUAUACUAGUUUUCGGGUGCACAACAUAGUGAUUAGACAUUUACGUACUGUUCUUAAUAUACCAACUCUGGCUUCUCAACACAGCCUCCCAAGACAUCGGAUAUGCACAUUAAAAUAUUUUCUUUAAUGUCCAGUUCUGAGACAUUUCAGUCCAUAAACAAACACUUAGCACUGAGCUGAGUGUCUGGGUAGUGGUGUUAACGGCUUAGUUCAUGGCAAGUGUGGGUGUAUGCAUGAGCAUAUUCAGCUUUCUUGUAUUUAUGAUUAAAAUUAAGACAUGCACACUGGAAAGCAAUCAGAUACUGAAAAUUUUAAAGUGAAGUUCCCCAUCUCUGGAGACAGCACUGUGAGAGCUUUGACAGAUAUUCUUAUUGAAAUUUUCCAUGCAGAUGCAGAAGUAUGUGUAAUUUUUAAAUAGGAGUCUUUAUAUAUAUAUUUCUAUGACUUGCUUUCCUUAAAAAUAUUUUUAUCCCAUUAUUUCCUUUAAUAAUAUGUCUUAGACAUGUUUCUCAUUAAUUUGCAACCCUUAAUAUGUCUGAGAGACAUUUCCACACUGAGAUAGAUAGAUAUAGGUAGGGAGUGCUCUCUUUAUAGUCACUAUAAUAUUUCAUGAUUUAGAUGAAACAUUUUUAAAACAUUAAAAGUGUGUGACACUGAAACUUAAAACCAAGGCACUAAAACAGGACUACAAGACUUUUGGUCAGAGUUACACAGAACAAAGCAGAGGCCAGCAAAUGUAUGUGUUGAUUUUCUAGCUUAAAUGAGUACUUAACCCUUUUUCCCUGUAGCUAUAGGUAUUAAUUAAUAUAAGUGGCAUAUUCUUUCUCUAAUUUCACUUGUAAAAAUGGAAGAACUUAAUCUAGUAUUGACAUUAAGCCUUUUUGAGGGUCUUUCACAGCUAGAACAGAGUUAGACCUUUGAAAGAUUUGAGUGAUUCCUUUUUCUAGAGCUUAUCAAGACUGAUGCAGGAGAGUCAGGAAGGCAGCCUUCUGUUCCUCUGGAUCUUCAGGAAGCCUUCAAAACAGAUUUCACAGCCCAGGCCAUGGUGGGUGUACUGGAGCGUGCUUAAACACAGCCAAGUAGAAAGCAGAAAGUAGAUGGGGUUUACACCACAGCUCUGACUUUGAUAGUGGCUGGCACAGCGUUCCGGCCUGAGCAUCAGUUAGCUCCCAUUGCUCAAGGCCACCGACCUGAGUGUUGGGGUCAUACCCCUGCGUAGUGCCUGCCCAGUGGCCAGCUCAGAUGAGUAAUAAUAGCUUCUGACUAAGAGGAACCAGCUUAAUUCAUCGGAGUGGCUGGUCAGGCCUUCCUAGUCUCUGAAGCCACCUGCCAGCUGAGGGUGGCCUUGAUGAGGAGGAGAAGGUAUAACCCUGAGGAGCUAGUGAGGCCACUCCCAGAGCCGCAGAGCCCCUGGCAGAGGGAUGGCGUGAGGCCUGGAACUGUCAGAGUAAAGUUUGCUCCAUCCACUGCCUGUGUGAGUUGCAUCUUCCUUGGCCACACUGCACCAGUGCCAGCUAACCACGGAGUUAGUUGGUUGAUAUCCAGGGACUGCUAGUCCCAUUGGCAGGUAUUGUUAUGCUAUUUGCAGUGGGACUCCCACUCCUCCCCUGGGGGUAGUAAUAGUUGUCACUUGGUUGACAAAGCAGUUCUGUGCUUGUUUGAUUUGCUAGCUGAACUAGACUCCUUCCCAGAAAAACACCUCUUUUACGUGAGUGACUGACAGUGUGAUUAUUUGGAUUUGGGAAUUUGUUAGACAUUUUCUACGAAAUGAACAAAGUGAGGUUGUCACUUCAAGGGAAACAACUGACAUUAUUUAUUGCUAAGAAUUUGUUCUUUCAAG
Molecule: long non-coding RNA, 1954 nt
Organism: Phyllostomus discolor (pale spear-nosed bat)
Lineage: Eukaryota; Metazoa; Chordata; Mammalia; Chiroptera; Phyllostomidae
Exons: 2
Source: RefSeq, a predicted model, not a curated record